AUUGAACGCUGGCGGCAGGCUUAACACAUGCAAGUCGAGCGGGGAAGGGUAGCUUGCUACCUGACCUAGCGGCGGACGGGUGAGUAAUGCUUAGGAAUCUGCCUAUUAGUGGGGGACAACAUUCCGAAAGGAAUGCUAAUACCGCAUACGCCCUACGGGGGAAAGCAGGGGAUCUUCGGACCUUGCGCUAAUAGAUGAGCCUAAGUCAGAUUAGAUAGUUGGUGGGGUAAAGGCCUACCAAGGCGACGAUCUGUAGCGGGUCUGAGAGGAUGAUCCGCCACACUGGGACUGAGACACGGCCCAGACUCCUACGGGAGGCAGCAGUGGGGAAUAUUGGACAAUGGGCGAAAGCCUGAUCCAGCCAUGCCGCGUGUGUGAAGAAGGCCUUUUGGUUGUAAAGCACUUUAAGCGAGGAGGAGGCUACUUGGAUUAAUACUCUAGGAUAGUGGACGUUACUCGCAGAAUAAGCACCGGCUAACUCUGUGCCAGCAGCCGCGGUAAUACAGAGGGUGCGAGCGUUAAUCGGAUUUACUGGGCGUAAAGCGUGCGUAGGCGGCUUUUUAAGUCGGAUGUGAAAUCCCUGAGCUUAACUUAGGAAUUGCAUUCGAUACUGGGAAGCUAGAGUAUGGGAGAGGAUGGUAGAAUUCCAGGUGUAGCGGUGAAAUGCGUAGAGAUCUGGAGGAAUACCGAUGGCGAAAGCAGCCAUCUGGCCUAAUACUGACGCUGAGGUACGAAAGCAUGGGGAGCAAACAGGA
RNAcentral lists this ribosomal RNA (755 nucleotides) under uncultured bacterium. RNAcentral's name for it is "bacterial SSU rRNA". It matches the Rfam family "Bacterial small subunit ribosomal RNA", at positions 28 to 777 of the family's 1533-position model. The record is from RNAcentral.